GGAUUGGUGCCUUCGGGAACUGUGAGACAGGUGCUGCAUGGCUGUCGUCAGCUCGUGUUGUGAAAUGUUGGGUUAAGUCCCGCAACGAGCGCAACCCUUAUCCUUUGUUGCCAGCGGUCCGGCCGGGAACUCAAAGGAGACUGCCAGUGAUAAACUGGAGGAAGGUGGGGAUGACGUCAAGUCAUCAUGGCCCUUACGACCAGGGCUACACACGUGCUACAAUGGCGCAUACAAAGAGAAGCAAUCUCGCGAGAGCUAGCGGACCUCAUAAAGUGCGUCGUAGUCCGGAUUGGAGUCUGCAACUCGACUCCAUGAAGUCGGAAUCGCUAGUAAUCGUGAAUCAGAAUGUCACGGUCGAAUACGUUCCCGGGCCUUGUACACACCGCCCGUCACACCAUGGGAGUGGGUUGCAAAAGAAGUAGGUAGCUUAACCUUCGGGAGGGCGCUUACCACUUUGUGAUUCAUGACUGGGGUGAAGUCGUAACAAGGUAGGCGUAGAUGA
RNAcentral lists this ribosomal RNA (502 nucleotides) under uncultured bacterium. Its description in RNAcentral is "bacterial SSU rRNA". It matches the Rfam family "Bacterial small subunit ribosomal RNA", at positions 1008 to 1509 of the family's 1533-position model. The record is from RNAcentral.